The sequence is a regulatory RNA element, 52 nucleotides long. It matches the Rfam family "serC leader". Rfam says of the family: This family is a putative regulatory RNA structure that is found upstream of the serC-serA operon in some alpha-proteobacteria. The final stem of the structure overlaps the ribosome binding site of the serC reading frame. The record is from Rfam.
CGACGGGACACGCCCCCCCAACGGGGCGCGCCCAUCUGUAAGGAUGGAGACA